This 18-nucleotide microRNA is filed under the name Ornithorhynchus anatinus (platypus). RNAcentral's name for it is "oan-miR-1358". The record is from miRBase by way of RNAcentral. Lineage: Eukaryota; Metazoa; Chordata; Mammalia; Monotremata; Ornithorhynchidae.
AACUGAUUUUGUUUGGGA